This is a long non-coding RNA of Mus musculus (house mouse), 1917 nucleotides long. RefSeq annotates it as predicted gene, 42271. The record is from RefSeq and is a predicted model, not a curated record. The transcript is spliced from 3 exons. Lineage: Eukaryota; Metazoa; Chordata; Mammalia; Rodentia; Muridae.
GGAGAAAAGGUACCCAACCAUGUGAGAUCUUGGGCGGGACAGCCAUAGGCUGCUUGCUUCCCCAGAAAACAUCAUUUAGGAUUGAAGAAAUGUCUGAGCCCUCAAAGCAAUCGUCUCUGGAGCAUGAGGACUUGGAUCACCACUCCACAAACUCAUGUAAAAAACUAGGUGCACCAGCACAUACCAAUAAUGGUGAGAUGGGAGUCAGCAACAGUGCCACAAGAUGAGGCAUACUCCCGGUUACAAUGCACCACCUUCAAUCAGCUAAAAGCAUCUAACCAAGGAUGAAGAACUAUCUCCCAAACCGUGAGACAAAAAUCAACAUUUCUUCCCUUUCAGGGGGGCUGUCUUGGGUACUUUGUUACAACAACAGGAAGCUGGCUGAUACAGCAUAUAACUAAAGAUUUGCUAGGUAUCAUUUUAUCUUCUGAGACCAUGUUGUGAGUAGCAUUUCCCUUUUCCAAGUCCUUUGUAUUUGUCAAGUCUAGAAAUAGGGGUUUGCUUGAGGUAUCAAUUCCAUCUGUUUCAUUCAUAGAAACUGCUUGGCUCUCCUGGGCUUCUUUAUCCUACAUUGUGGCCUGGCACCUUGCCAGUCCACAAACUAUGGUGCUCAUAGGGUUUAUUUUGGGUUUCUUUUCACAGGUAGCACUGCCCUCUGUGGCUCUCUACCUUUCUCUGUCUCUUCUACCUCCUCAACUCCCCUUCCCAUGCCCUAAAUAAACUCUAUUCUAUUCUAAACCCAUGGUGUAGCUGAUACCUCAGGGCGGAAGGGAUGCCUCAACAUGGGCGUGCAGAGGCACCUCCUUCCCAGAGCCAUGCCGAGUCUGUACCAAACAUACCCCUGGUUUCUUUUUCUUUUUUUAUAAAACACAACAACCAUGAGUGGAGGCAAACAUUACAGUGUCUCCUCAGUUUAUAGAGUUAGAGUGGAAUCAGCAUGAGAUGUAAGGAGUCAAUGAUAAUUAAAAGUGACAACUACAGAAGUAUAUUUUAUACAUGUGAUCACUUAUGAAUGAGACCCUCCGCAGUGCCUUUAAGAAGAAUGGGUGAUUUAGGGUGUAAGUUACAGGAAUGGCCAGGCCCUGCCACUGAGGACCUUCCUACUGCAGAACACUCAGCAGGACCCAGCUACUCCAGACUGGGAAAGCCAAGCUCUGCCUUACAGAGUAAAGAGCCCAAGCUUAGGUGUUGAAAAUUCACCAAGCUCCAUCCUGGAACACCCCCACCCUGAAAUCCUAUAUAAACCCUGUCUUCUGCUCAGUUCUCUGCUGCUUCUUACCCCAGCAGAGGCAGCCAGACUCCUGAAGUUCCCCCAUGCCCCCCACCCAACAAAUCUUUUGUGUGAGGUUUGUUGUGUGGUGUGACUUUGUGGUAUUCCCUGGUUCCCUACCACCAUGAUACUCUCCCCUUUAGACCUGUAGCACUUUCCUUGGGGAAAGCUGCUCCCAUCAGAACUUCUCCCUCAUCCCCCCCUCACUGGCUUUGGGAUGCCUACUCAGUAGACAAGCAGGCCUCUCUGCAGCCACAGUGGCAGCUGCACUUCCCUUGGUGUGCUUCUCUCACUAAGUCCACAGAGGGCUGACUUUCCAUUCCUAAAUCCUUAUUGUGUGCUUGCUUGUUUGCUGAGACUCAAAGGCUUUGCAUUGUGAAUGAUAAAAGCAUUGUGUUUUUCUGACCUGUGAAAUCCACAAUCACAGACUUCUUGUACAACCCCCUCCCCCCUCCGCCUUUCUUUUUAACUAGGAACAUACUGAAAAUAAAGGCAGAAGUAUUAUGUGGAAUUAGGUAUUUACGUUGAUUUUUUUCCAACCUCCACAAACAACACAGCUAAUUUUGCAGCAAGUCUUUUCUGUUGCUUGGGAUUUUUAUCUAUCGAAUUAUGAAAUUUCAAAAGUUACUUGUUAUUGAAUAAGUAGU